GCAUGGCUAAAACAUGCAAGUCGAACGCGAAAGCACUUCGGUGCAAGUAGAGUGGCGAAAGGGCGAGGAAUAAGUACCUAACUACCCCCAGGUCAGGGAUAGGUCGGGGAAACCCGGCGUAAUACCUGAUGUGGUCUCCGGAUCAAAGAUUUAUCGCCCGGGGAGCGGGGAACAUCCUAUCAGGUUGUUGGUGAGGUAACGGCUCACCAAGCCAAAGACUGGUAGCGGGUGUGAGAGCAUGACCCGCCGCAUCGGGACUGAGACACUGCCCGGACUCCUACGGGAGGCUGCAGUAACGAAUAUUCCGCAAUGGACGAAAGUCUGACGGAGCAAUGCCGCGUGCAGGAUGAAUCCCUUCGGGGUGUAAACUGCUGUCAGGGUUUAGGAACACAAUACCAGACCCAAAGGAAGGGCCGGCUAACUUCGUGCCAGCAGCCGCGGUAAUACGAAGGGCCCGAGCGUUAAUCGGAAUCACUGGGCUUAAAGCGUACGUAGGCGGACAUGUAGGUACUUUGUGAAAUCCCACCGCUCAACGGUGGAACUGCUGGGUAUACCGCAUGUCUUGAGACAGGUAGGGGUCGUCGGAACGAUAGGUGGAGUGGUGAAAUGCGUUGAUAUCUAUCGGAACGCCGAAGGAGAAGUCAGGCGACUGGGCCUGUUCUGACGCUGAGGUACGAAAGCGUGGGUAGCGAACGGGAUUAGAUACCCCGGUAGUCCACGCCGUAAACGAUGUGCACUAGGUUGGGGACGUACUGACACGUUUCCUGGCCGAAGCGAAAGUGUUAAGUGCACCGCCUGGGGAGUACGGUCGCAAGGCUAAAACUCAAAGGAAUUGACGGGGGCUCACACAAGCGGUGGAGCAUGUGGCUUAAUUCGAAGCAACGCGAAGAACCUUAUCCUGGGUUUGACAUGUAUGGAUUAACUCCGUGAAAGCGGAGCCACGCCUUCGGGUGGAACAUACACAGGUGCUGCAUGGCUGUCGUCAGCUCGUGCUGUGAAGUGUCGGGUUAAGUCCCUUAACGAGCGCAACCCCUAUCGUUAGUUGCCAGCGCGUAAUGGCGGGCUGGGGACUCUAGCGGGACUGCCGGCGUCAAGUCGGAGGAAGGUGGGGACGACGUCAAGUCCGCAUGGCCUUUAUGCCCAGGGCUGCACACGUGCUACAAUGGCGUAUACAGAGCGACGCGAGACCGCGAGGUGGAGCAAAUCGCAAAAAGUACGCCCCAGUUCGGAUUGCAGGCUGCAACUCGCCUGCAUGAAGUUGGAAUCGCUAGUAAUCGGAGAUCAGCUUGCCGCGGUGAUACGUUCCUGAGCAUUGUACACACCGCCCGUCAAGUCAUGGAAGCUGGCAGCGCCCGAAGUCGCCUCGAAUCAGGGGUGCCCACGGCGAGGCUGGU
This 1394-nucleotide ribosomal RNA is filed under the name uncultured prokaryote. RNAcentral's name for it is "partial 16S ribosomal RNA". It matches the Rfam family "Bacterial small subunit ribosomal RNA". The record is from RNAcentral.